This 311-nucleotide unclassified non-coding RNA is filed under the name Hevea brasiliensis (rubber tree). The record is from RNAcentral. Lineage: Eukaryota; Viridiplantae; Streptophyta; Magnoliopsida; Malpighiales; Euphorbiaceae.
UUUUUUUUUUUUUUUUUCAAUAGUAUAUCAAUAAUCCAUGGAUAAUUAAUGUACACUAAGCACUAAGCUCAAUUACAAUCAAAAGGGAAGCUAUGAUUAAAUUAGUCUCUUUUGUCUCAAGCUGGAUAAAAAGAGAGCAGAUUUGCAGGUAUGCAAGCAGAAUUUUUCCAAGCUCUAGCAUGCAAUUUAAGCACCUCUUUAGCCUUUUCUUUGGUCUUGCUUCCGCAAUCCACUUGAAGAACCAAACACAGCUUGGCCACAACACCAAUCUGUAACAUCUCUUGAAGAACACUUGAAGUUGUUGAGAACUU